Non-coding RNA from Pseudocohnilembus persalinus, 74 nucleotides. Lineage: Eukaryota; Ciliophora; Oligohymenophorea; Philasterida; Pseudocohnilembidae. The record is from Rfam.
ACUCCCAUAACUCAGCUGGUUAGAGUGUUAGCCUUAUGUGCUGAAAGUCGUCAGUUCGAUCCUGGCUGGGAGUA